Long non-coding RNA from Talpa occidentalis (Iberian mole), 283 nucleotides. RefSeq lists it as uncharacterized. The record is from RefSeq and is a predicted model, not a curated record. The transcript has 3 exons. Lineage: Eukaryota; Metazoa; Chordata; Mammalia; Eulipotyphla; Talpidae.
GGCCUUUGGCUCGCACUCUCAGCCAGGCAUGUUUGGUCUUGGCAGGUCAUUUGGGAUUCCAGACGGGAGUCCCUAGAUCUAUCCUUAUGUUCAUCAGUCUUUAAUGAAUGAAGUUGGUUUUGGCAUCCAGAUGGAACACAGCUGGAAAGUGAUGGGGGCAGAAAGUUUGUCCUGAUAUGUUAUCUUAGAAGAUUGAAAGGUCAUUUGGGCCCAAGAGGUGUCAAGGAGAAAGUGGCAUUUGACAUAGGACUUUGAGGAUGGAGAGGUGUGCUGCCAGUUGAGC